UUUGAAUAGAAACAACAGGUUUCUGCACCACUCUUACUGCUUCCUGUGUUGACCGAUGUACUGGUGAGAAGGGGUCAAAGGUUGCGCUUCAACACAUAAAAUUAAGGCCGCCCUGGGUCUAGACCAGGGUAGAAGGCUGCCUUAAUAACCUCCCCCGACUCUAAUAUCAGCGAAGGUCACAUAGAGUGUAUGUUGGCAGUAUUAAUAAAUAAAAGCAAAACAAGGUGUAAUGUUUUAAAGCAUGGAAAGAGGAAUGAAGUGGAAUAAACAAAAGGUUAAAUUAAAUUAGAGCUUAUUUAAUGUAUUCAAAUUGAUAAUAGAAGGAUAACAACCUGUAAACUGGUAUUAACAAUGAAAUAUAGUUGGCAGGACGACCGUGCCUAGAAUGGAUAGAAUGCAUGAAACCAGAUAACUCACACAAACACAUAUUAAAUGAAAUAGAGAGAUGCAUAAGGUAUAUUAAGGAAAAUGUCUCCAGCUUGGGAAAGGGUGAGACUGCAGCUCACCCUCAGCCCUUGGUGGACACAAAUAAAAUAUUGUAAUAUACUAUUGCUGUUAUAUAAAAGAUAAUAACAUUAAUAAUGAAAUAAUAUUAAAUAUGAAGAGGCACCUCAGUCAGUUGUGAUGUGAGGUGGAUAAUUGUUAAAAGUAAUCUGUAUCAAGCUUAAGGUUUGCUCAAAUUCAGUAUAAUGACAUAUGAGAUGAAGAAAAUAAAGAAAAUAUGUAAACUAAUUAAGUGCAUAGAGACACUUGACCCGCUUGUAAACCUGUCAUCCUAGAUGAGAUUUUGUUAAGAUGAAGAGCAAACCUAUACUACCAAGCUAAUGAGCAAGAUACACCCUUUUAUUUUGUAUUAAUUUUUUUGUUUUUCAGAGCAGAAGCUGCAUGAUAUUAAAAGCUCACACAUGCAGCAGUCUGUGAUCUCAGUUUUUCUCUCACACUUCUGCUUUGUUUCUGACAGCAGUUCUUUUUCUUUUGUGUCCCAACUCGUGUGUAAGGCCU
Molecule: long non-coding RNA, 1002 nt
Organism: Oreochromis aureus
Lineage: Eukaryota; Metazoa; Chordata; Actinopteri; Cichliformes; Cichlidae
Source: Ensembl